Amphiprion ocellaris (clown anemonefish) is the source of this 2117-nucleotide long non-coding RNA. RefSeq lists it as uncharacterized. Lineage: Eukaryota; Metazoa; Chordata; Actinopteri; Pomacentridae. The transcript has 2 exons. The record is from RefSeq and is a predicted model, not a curated record.
CAGUCGUCCUGGUUGCUGGUGUCGCCGUUUGCUGCCGUCCCGCAGGUCCGACGCUUCUUUCGGCGGUGAGACAUGGCGUCGCCCUCCGAGCCCGACUCUGCCUGCAGGAGACCCGGCGUUACAGCAGCAUCAUGUGUGUCACAGCACUUACAUCAGAGUUGGAGUCGGACGAGCUGGAGGAUGAAGAGGAUGAAGAGUCACUAGAGCUGUCAGAUGCGAUACCCGUGGAUUCCUGUAGGUCCACUUUGUCUGCCAGCGCCGCUAGGUCGGGUCGCUCCUGCUUCAAAAUGCUGAAACAACAAAUCAAGUGUGAACAAGUGUUUGUCCUGAUCCAGAUCCCAUGUUAAUGUGGGGACAGAAGUUUCUCCCUUUUAUUGAUUUUCAACAUAGAAUCAAGUUUAAUUUGACAAGAAUUUACACCUCAUUCAUUUUACCCUCGACCUUUACAAGCCUUCCAGGACCUGCUGCUGAGAAACAUCAUGAUGCUGCCACCACCAUACUUCACAUCAUGAUGUUGCCACCACUAUGCUUCACAUCAUGAUGUUGCCACCACUAUGCUUCAUGUCAUGAUGUUGCCACCACCGUGCUUCACAUCAUGAUGUUGCCACCACUAUGCUUCAUGUCAUGAUGUUGCCACCACCGUGCUUCACAUCAUGAUGUUGCCACCACUAUGCUUCACAUCAUGAUGCUGCCACCACCGUGCUUCACAUCAUGAUGCUGCCACCACUAUGCUUCACAUCAUGAUGCUGCCACCACCAUGCUUCACAUGAUGUUGCCACCACUAUGCUUCACAUCAUGAUGUUGCCACCACUAUGCUUCACAUCAUGAUGCUGCCACCACCAUGCUUCACAUCAUGAUGCUGCCACCACCAUGCUUCACAUCAUGAUGCUGCCACCACCAUGCUUCACAUCAUGAUGUUGCCACCACUAUGCUUCACAUCGUGAUGUUGCCACCACCAUGCUUCACAUGAUGUUGCCACCACUAUGCUUCACAUCAUGAUGUUGCCACCACUAUGCUUCACAUCAUGAUGCUGCCACCACCAUGCUUCACAUCAUGAUGCUGCCACCACCAUGCUUCACAUCAUGAUGCUGCCACCACCAUGCUUCACAUCAUGAUGCUGCCACCACCAUGCUUCACAUGAUGUUGCCACCACUAUGCUUCACAUCAUGAUGCUGCCACCACCAUGCUUCACAUCAUGAUGCUGCCACCACCAUGCUUCACAUCAUGAUGUUGCCACCACUAUGCUUCACAUCAUGAUGUUGCCACCACCAUGCUUCACAUCAUGAUGUUGCCACCACCAUGCUUCACAUCGUGAUGUUGCCACCACUGUGCUUCACAGUGAGGAUGGUGUGUUUCUAGUCUGAUGGACAAAAAGUUCCACUCUUCCAGUUGACUUCGGAAUCUCCACGUCUUCUGGUGAACUCUCGUCCAGAUUAUAUUUGAGCUUUUUCUAACAGAGUCUUUCUCUUUGUCUUCCAUAAAGCUUCGACUGCUGAAGAACAGACAACAGUUGUUGUAUGAACAGUCUCUCCCAUCUCAGCUGCUGAAGCUUGGAACUCCUUCAGAGGAGUCAUAGGUGUCCUGGUGGCCUCCCUCACUAGUCUCUUUCUUCUCAUUCUCUCGGUUUUUGAGGAUGUCAUUAAAUUGACCAGGUUUCAAUGUUGAAAAUCAAUAAAAGGGGAAAACUUUCAGGUGGGUGAAUACUUGUGGUAUACCUGCAGGAUUUAGAAAGACACAUUUGAAAAAUGAAGUUUCCUGCACUGUGGAGGAUUCUUUCUUACCGGUACCACUUCCUGGAGAGCUUGGGACGUCCUCGGACCGUUUUGUGCCACACGAUGGGGAAGUUGGUCGUGCUGGCGAAGUUCUGGGUGACGGCGAUCGUCGUGUCCAGGUUAAGAACAACGUGCCACCAUCCUCCUGCAGAAACACUGCAGGUUAAAAUUAGAGCUGCAACGGUUCAUUAUUUUGGCAAGUAUUGGAUUCAUUUGAUAAUCCAUCAGUUUGCAUAGUUGUUUUUAAUCAAAACUGUAACUACAGCUUCUUCAAAUGAAAUGACCGGUAAUGUAAAUAAAAAUAAAACAGAGAGAGGCUGCUAACGCCCUCCUGUGGAGCCGGCA